GGACCUGUGGCGCAGCGGUAGCGUUUCUGAUUCCAGUUAUCUCAUUGCAGCUAGAUUCCAGAAGGUCAUCCGUUCGAAUCGGGUCGGGUUCA
This is a non-coding RNA of Astrocystis sublimbata, 92 nucleotides long. Lineage: Eukaryota; Fungi; Ascomycota; Sordariomycetes; Xylariales; Xylariaceae. The record is from the annotation of a GenBank genome assembly.